This 931-nucleotide long non-coding RNA is filed under the name Homo sapiens (human). RNAcentral describes it as "non-protein coding lnc-PTPRZ1-11:1". Lineage: Eukaryota; Metazoa; Chordata; Mammalia; Primates; Hominidae. The record is from RNAcentral.
CUGGAGUGUAGUGGUACGAUCAUAGCUCAGCAGUGUUGCAAACUUGCCUCUCCUUCAGCUGACACCUAUAGCAGGUGGUGCCAUACACCAAAGGACAGAGGCGAAAAAAGUCCAAGCUUAGUUCACAGGUGUACUGGCUCAGUAUGUGUGUGCCAGCCAAAAAUUGGCUGCUAUUGCACUAUAGCCUCACCCGGGGGAAGGGUGUAGGGAGAAGGGAUCGGAAAGAAAAUUAUGACAGGAAAAUCACCUCCGAAAGCAGCCUCGGAUAGGGACAGCCCUACAAAAAGGAAUCUUCAAAAGCUCUUUCCCCUUGCCUAAAUUUGGGACAUCUCUGAGGAACUAUUCCUGCUUCACAGUGCACUGUGACAUUGGUUGAGGCCUCUGUUGCAACUACGUCACAGUUCAGCCUCUCCCUCUGCCCAAUCCUGCUUUCCUCACAUCCUUAUAGACCGUAUGCUCAAGAGCACAUCCCAAUAACCUACCUGCCUAGAAAUCUCAAUUUCAGUCUGUUUCCCAGGAAACCCAACCUGCAACAAUUAAUAAAAAUAAUCAAUGUAAUGAGUCAGGAUUAAAAGUUCUACAGUUUAAUUCGCACCUGUGAGUGAGAACAUGCAGUGCUUGGUUUUUUGUCCUUGCGAUAGUUUGCUGAGAAUGAUGGUUUUUCACUGUUGGAGCGGGAGAUUUUAGAAAAGAAGGGGGAGGACUGGAACUAACCAUGUGGUACUUGGCUCCUUGGAGACCAUCAGUAUGAACUCAUGUUUACCUUAAUAUAGAUACAUACGGAUACGUUAGAAAUAUUUAUAAGUAUGUGUACACACACCAAUUUGUGUGUGUGUGUGCGCAUGCACACGCGCACAUGCUCUGUCAGAUUAGAGAGCCUGGAAACCAUGAUAGCCCAGUAGCAGAGAGGGCACCAACUGCCCAAAUCUUG